GGGGCGUUAGCUCAGUUGGUUAGAGCAGAGGACUCAUAAUCCUUUGGUCGUCGGUUCAAGUCCGCCACGCCCUACCA
RNAcentral lists this transfer RNA (77 nucleotides) under Comamonas testosteroni. Its description in RNAcentral is "tRNA-Ile". It matches the Rfam family "tRNA". Rfam says of the family: Transfer RNA (tRNA) molecules are approximately 80 nucleotides in length. Their secondary structure includes four short double-helical elements and three loops (D, anti-codon, and T loops). RNAcentral also lists the same sequence under 57 other names. Lineage: Bacteria; Pseudomonadati; Pseudomonadota; Betaproteobacteria; Burkholderiales; Comamonadaceae. The record is from RNAcentral.